GGGGGUAGAAUUCCAGGUGUAGCGGUGAAAUGCGUAGAGAUCUGGAGGAAUACCGGUGGCGAAGGCGGCCCCCUGGACAAAGACUGACGCUCAGGUGCGAAAGCGUGGGGAGCAAACAGGAUUAGAUACCCUGGUAGUCCACGCCGUAAACGAUGUCUACUUGGAGGUUGUGCCCUUGAGGCGUGGCUUCCGGAGCUAACGCGUUAAGUAGACCGCCUGGGGAGUACGGCCGCAAGGUUAAAACUCAAAUGAAUUGACGGGGGCCCGCACAAGCGGUGGAGCAUGUGGUUUAAUUCGAUGCAACGCGAAGAACC
Molecule: ribosomal RNA, 314 nt
Filed under: Salmonella enterica subsp. enterica serovar Derby
Lineage: Bacteria; Pseudomonadati; Pseudomonadota; Gammaproteobacteria; Enterobacterales; Enterobacteriaceae
Also listed under: 1 other name
Description: bacterial SSU rRNA
Rfam family: Bacterial small subunit ribosomal RNA
Source: RNAcentral